Molecule: non-coding RNA, 815 nt
Organism: Nylanderia fulva
Lineage: Eukaryota; Metazoa; Arthropoda; Insecta; Hymenoptera; Formicidae
Source: RefSeq, a predicted model, not a curated record
UGCAUACAUAUUUGAACCUAAUAUUGCGUUGAAUUGCAAAAGCAUUUAGCAUAGAUAAUUUUAACCGUAUUAUCUACUUUGUCUCGAUAGAAAGUUUGCGUGCUACGUAAUUAAGCUCCAACGUUCUAAAUCCGCUAAUUUACUUACCCGUACACUUCGCCAGUCACUUCGCAAAUAGUCUUCUCUGGUACUGUCGUCCAGUAGUAACCUGCCAUUGCCAGUGCUUCUCCGUUCAUAAGUCCAAAUCCGAAAGCCGGGUUAAACCAAAAUCCAGCUGCAUUUUUGAACCAUCCCGGAUUUUUGCUGAAAAUUUUAUGAUCGCGAGAGCUAAUAUUCCGGCGGCCAAUGGAGCAGAAGCUGAAGUACCUGUAUGCUUGGUCGUGCAGGUAUUCUUUAGAUCUGUCGUUACCUGGAAAACAUAAAUAAAAGCUACUAAAUUAUUCGGUAUUCUCCGUAAGACGGAUCUUCUCUCUUCGUGGAUACUACUCAUUCAAUCUCAGAGGGGAAGAACCGACACGAGAAUAGCAGGACAUUUCUCUCCGUACCAAGGAAGUUCUCCAGUUUGGCUAAUUGAUCCAACGGCUAUGGUGUAUAUGCUUCCAACAUAUCCGUCAUAUCCGCAGUCGUCCGAAUUGCCACCAUUCCCAGCGGCCCAUACAUAAAUGUUACCUUUACCGUUACGACCCUGUCACGUAUUCGAGUAUCAAUAUUGCCUCACGUAAUAUCAAGUAAAUGAUGAUUUAUUCACGAGAUGAUGAAACUUUCACGUUAUAUAUCAGAUUAUAUAAUAAAAAUGUUAUAUUUGCAAAUCAUAA